AAGACGUUUCAUCAUUUAGUUCCAAAUGCUAGAACUCAUGCCUAUUUCAUUCAAAGCAUGUUAUUGAUUUGCAUAACACAUAUUCAAGAUGAAGUUGUUUAGUGAUCCAAGAGCCAAAAAGCCUAUCCCAUUCAUUAUAUGUUUAAGUUUAACCCCGUUGAGCCUUGUUUAGCCUACGUUCUUUGUUAACCCACACUAUCCUCACCUAGCCUAGAUUAGGACCAUCCAUACCCUUGUUCUUGAAGCAUAGUAAAGUCUGACUCAAAAUGAAUUCCUUUUGAUUAAUGUAUUGCAGAAAACAAGUGUGGGGGAAGUAAUUCUUGUGUGUGUGUGUGCCAAAGUCCUUAAUAAGGCACGGGUCGAAAAAAAAAAAGUUGUGAAAAUGUAUGAAAAAGAGUUCUAAAGUGUUGUUUGUUGAAGAAAGGGUCCAAACAUUGAAUUCGGCCCUAAGUGUUGCUUAAAUCUUCCAUUUGUGUUAAAAGUUGAUUUCUGCAUUCCAAAGUGAAUUCUAAGUUUCGAUUUCAUUACUUUGCUUGCUAUUGCUUUAAGAACGUUUGUUAUCCCUAUCUUUCCUUUGUUAACCAUUACCCCAAGCCCCGUUACAACCCUUGACUUCUAUCUUGAGUGUUAUGUGUUUCAAUUUGUGGAGUUUGAAUUUGGUAUGAGCAUAUGGUGUCACUGGUUCUCGCAUCUAAGUAGUAGCAUUCCAUUCAUGAGAUCAUAUCUAAACAUGCUUAAUAACUCCAAAAAUUGCUUUCUUUGUAACACAUAUAUGUGAGUGUUCGUUUUCAUGUUGACAUCAAUCUUCUCACAUAUAACUAGUGUAGGGUGUGUAGUCAGAAAAUGUGUGAAAAUAGAGAGUAUCUUGUAAGGAAUUGAGAAAAUUCUCUAAGGCAUGUUACUACAUUCAAAACAUCAUUUUAAUUGGUUAAAUGUGAACUAGUAAGUGGUGACUGUGAUUAAGUAUGUGCUCAAGUGUGAAGAUAACUAAAAUCUGUGGGAAUAAUGAUUUUUAACAUGUCAUGUGCAUUGGAAAUCCCUGAGGCAAAUGUUGGAAGGAUUAGAAUGUGUUUUGUUUGUUUGUUUCGUUUUGCUCGAGGACUAGCAAAAGCUAAGUGUGGG
RNAcentral lists this long non-coding RNA (1122 nucleotides) under Malus domestica (apple). RNAcentral describes it as "long non-coding RNA (MDOM_LNC012453)". Lineage: Eukaryota; Viridiplantae; Streptophyta; Magnoliopsida; Rosales; Rosaceae. The record is from RNAcentral.